GUUAUUGCGAAGCUCGCCGCUCACAAUGGUGGAGAGAAAAGUUGAUUCUGAAAGCAGAGCCUUUCAGCACCAGUGGGAGGCUGAAUAUAUGUUUACAGACAUGCUGGUAAAGCCGUGCGUCUUAUUAGUGGAGCUAAUGUGGCUGUAAGGAAUUUAGUUUAAGACGGCGAGACAAAACGUCAGGAUAAGCUGAAAAACCUAAACGCAGAAACUACAGGAAGUAGAAUCUAACAUUUCAGCAGACGUUUGUCAUCAGAGCAAAACCACAAAGUGAAGCUGUUGUGAAAGCAAGUUUUAUCGUAGCAGAGGAGCCAAAUGAGCCCGGUACCACUCUGAAGAGCUGCAGGAUGAAGCUGUGUGACGUCUUCCGUCCAGACAAAACGCAGAUUUAGGCAAAUGUGAGCCUGAGCAGAAAUACGAUUGCUGAUCGGGUUUGUGAGACAGCCACCGAUUUAAGAACACAGUUGUGUGAAAGAAGCAAAAACUUCACUCCAUACUCUCUUGCUGUGGAUGAAAGUAGACAUGAUGGACACUGCACAGCUGGCCAGCUUCAUCCGUGGAGAGGAAAUAUUGAACAUUAAAUCGAUGCACGGGACAACGACAGGAAAAUACAUUUUUUAAAACGUAUGUCAAAGUGUAACGACGUGAAACUGUCCUGGGACAAACUUGUUGGACUUACAACAGAUGGAGCGCCGGUGCUGUGCGGUGAAAAAAGUAGUCAGCAGGAUGCGAGUAAAGAUGCAGGAGAAAUGUACCGACCAAAUCCCCUGUACACAUAGUGACUCAGAGGAUGAGCAGCCCACAAAAAAAUGGUUUCCCCAGGCCCCUCGAGUGAAAGUACCAGACCUGACGAGAGCUGUUAACGAACUCCGUGAGGAGGUCAGAGCCAUCCGCAAUACCGGCUGCAAUGAAUCGGUAGAUGCUGGGGUACUGCCUCUGGAUUUGCCUUUGCACAACAUUGAGGAGCUAAACAAUGCAGAGCCAGCUCUUCAAUCACAAGAGGCAAAUAAGGCAAUGGUCUCCACUUCAUCAGACAUCACCUAGACUCAGAGCUGGAUGAGGCCAGCACAGACAGCGGCCUAACCGACGAAGAUGAUGGAUCCAUGGUGUCAGGAAAGCCAGAAGCAGGGGAGCUGGAGAGGUACCUUUCAUGUCCAUUCACUGGAGGUGUGGAUCUAUUGCAUGGCGUUCCUCACAUCAAGAAGCUGUUGAUCAAAGUCAAUACAGCUCUUCAUGCAUCUGGAGCUUGUGAAGGACUUCUCAGUCAUGCUGGACUCCUGUUCACUGUUGCUGAAGCUUAACCAUCACCUCACUGAGUGAAGAAAGGGCACAUUUUUGCUAAAUAUGCAGAAAUAGAUGCACACUUAUACAAUUUAUGGUAAACUGAGCUGCCUUGUAUGUACAUAUGAUGAAGAUGCCUCGUUCUGUUUUCUCUGAGGCUGCUGUGCCAUUUGGAGCAAAGACGAAUAUAAAGUUUACAGCAUAUCUUGUCACUGGAAAUUGUUUGCACUGUUUAUAUAUUUAUAUUAUUUACUGCAGGUAUUGGUGAAAAAAGCUUUAUGUUGUGAAAAACUGAAAUCUGGAAAUUAGAAUCAUUGUGCCUUAUUUUGUUGAUGUUUUUACAUAUAUUCCUGUUGAAAAUAGUAAAAUUUGUAUAUUUAUUUAUUUUUGUUUGUCUGGUAACAUUUAUUGAAAAAAUAAAUCGGACAUUUCAAAC
Molecule: long non-coding RNA, 1717 nt
Organism: Astatotilapia calliptera (eastern happy)
Lineage: Eukaryota; Metazoa; Chordata; Actinopteri; Cichliformes; Cichlidae
Source: Ensembl